UUCCGGUUGAUCCUGCCGGAGGACAUUGCUAUUGGGAUUCGAUUUAGCCAUGCUAGUCGAACGAGUUUAGACUCGUGGCAGAUAGCUCAGUAACACGUGGCCAAGCUACCCUUCAGUCGGCAAUACCCUCGGGAAACUGAGGUAAAUGGCCGAUGUGGGACGCCUGCUGGAAUGCGGCGUUCUCUAAAGAUCACGCUGAAGGAUGCGGCUGCGGCCGAUUAGGUUGACGGUGGGGUAACGGCCCACCGUGCCAGUAAUCGGUACGGGUGAUGAGAGUCAGAGCCCGGAGACGGAAUCUGAGACAAGAUUCCGGGCCCUACGGGGCGCAGCAGGCGCGAAACCUUUACACUGCACGAAAGUGCGAUAGGGGAAUCCCAAGUGCGAGGGCAUAUUAGCCCUCGCUUUUCUCGACUCUAAGGUGGUCGAGGAAUAAGAGCUGGGCAAGACCGGUGCCAGCCGCCGCGGUAAUACCGGCAGCUCGAGUGAUGUCCAAUAUUAUUGGGCCUAAAGCGUCCGUAGCUGGCCGCGCAAGUCCGUCGGGAAAUCCACCUGCUCAACAGGUGGGCGUCCGGCGGAAACUGCGUGGCUUGGAACCGGAGGGCUCAGAGGGUACGUCCGGGGUAGGAGUGAAAUCCCGUAAUCCCGGACGGACCACCGAUGGCG
RNAcentral lists this ribosomal RNA (663 nucleotides) under uncultured archaeon. Its description in RNAcentral is "bacterial SSU rRNA". It matches the Rfam family "Archaeal small subunit ribosomal RNA", at positions 1 to 668 of the family's 1478-position model. The record is from RNAcentral.